AAGGGUUUCACUGCAGAGACAUCUGGAGAAUUCACCAGGACUUUCUCUUUGCUUUGCUUUUCACCUUGUGAAUGGUGCUGUGCAUCCAGGUGGAUGCUGGUAGCAGUGUUAGCGCUAAACUGAGCCCGGGUGUAAAGGCACAAGGCGGGGGGCAGUCGCAGGGCUGCGGAGCUUUCAGACCGAGCUCAAAUCUGUGUCCUGUCGGACUGAGCUCUGUGUCCUGGCUGGGACUUGUGCUCAUGGGCAGGCUGCUUUGCUCUGGGCUGGGUGCUGAUCCGCUUGUGCACAGUGAUGCUACGGAGGUGGCUAAAGGCCAAGUGCUGUCAUUGGAAGCCAGCUGUGAAUUAAUGUGCAGCGUGUGAUUAAUGUGCUUUUUAAACGCGUUCAUGUCCUGUCACACUGGCUGUGGCUCUUGUGUCACACUCAGUGUUCUCAGAACACUUAUUAGCCUUACAGAUCCCCUGAUUAUUGCUUUCUCUUUUAUAAUUAAGCCAUGAAACUCAGCAUGGUGCAGCUUAUGCAGUAUUAAUUCAUGCCUAGCAUAUUCUGCCUGUGCCCUAGGAUAAGGCUAAACACUGGCAGCUGGGUUGCUCUCUGCACAGUUGCUAUUCUGAAAUUUUUUAAUAUGAUUAUAAAAAUAACAUUCUGUGUGCAUAUGGGCAACUUGGGGCUCACCACUGCUGCAAGCAGUAGCAAGAUGUGGCGUGACUUCCACAGAAGCUGGAUCUGGCCCCGGCAGUGCUGCGAGAUGUAUGGGGCUUGGUCCUGCCGCAGGCUCUGCCUGAUGCUCUCCAGGUCAGUGCUGUCAGCUCUGCUUUGCUGUUUGCUGCUCUCACUUCUCAGGACACAUCCAUGAAAAUGUGAGCCUCACAAGCGAGUUCUGCUUCUCUUCUUGUUGUUCUGGCCUCCGUUCUUACGAGGCUUAAACUGAAUCCAGGAUUUCUUGUGGAGCUGCAGUUUCACAUCUACUUUUUGCCGAUGUGUAUUUUCCCUCCCGGCUGGUCGCUCCUGCCCACGGUGCAGCAGUUCAGCAGCUUGUGUGGCCAUGUGGUGAGCUGAGCAGGGAAUAAAAAUGUCAUAAACCAUGUCUGUCUCCUUUAUUUCUUUUUAUUUUCCCUCUCCUGGGACUUAGCUGUAGGAGUGACUGUGCUGGAGGAGUUGGAGCUCAGUGCUACCAGAAGGGAAAUCACUGGAGUGACCCAGCAGCUGUGCCCCCAGCGGCUGCCACUCCCAGGGGAGCAGUAUGAGUGCAGAAUUCAUGCAGGCUUUGCAGGGCUGGGUGUUGUGCUGCUAUUUGUCUCUGCUGGGGGAGUCUAAACAUCCUUGCAGAUGAGCUGUGCGAAGUGGGAGGUAAGGGACUCCAGCCACUGCCCACCUUGGCCUGGGCUCUAGGUCUGCUGGAAGUCCUACCCAACUUCGGAUGUGGGGAUGAAGGUCAGUAGGUGGCUGUGUGUCAGCUGUGGAAGAGCACAUGUGUCCCUCGUCUACUUUGGACAGCAUGGAAGCAGUAGGAGCCACAGGAUGCCUUCAUGAACAGCCGGACACCACACUCUUCAUGGGCUGUGGAUGCAGCUGGAGCUGAUAAAAGCUCACUGCAACAGGUAUGGUGACUCCCUCCUGUCCUAGCCCCAGAGCAAAAGCCCACGGGUUACAAAACGCAUGCCUACUGGCUGUGUUGCACAAGGCGUUCUCUCACAUCUAGUCCUCAUUUCAGAGGGAAUCUCCCCAAAUCUUUAGUGAACCCCUGAGCUUGCCGUGCUGUUCCCGCUCUGUGGCAUGUGCUAUUUAUACACGUGCUGCUCGUGCUAUAAAUUAUUACUGAUCAAGCCAUUUAUGUAGAGACCCGAGUGCUGAUACAUUGAAUCUCAAAGCUUCUGUUUCAACAAACAGUGCCAAACCCUGGGAGCAGGAUGCAGAGCUGUAGUGCAGAAACUCUUUGAGCUCAGACGUUUCCAUGGAGAUGGAUCUUUGAUCUCAUCACAAUAAACAAAGGGUGGAGAAGAUGCUCCCAAACUAGGGAGGAAGGCCUGGCUGAUCCCUGUGUGGCAGAAGUUCCCAGCAGCAGGAAUUAGAGAGGCUGGAGGUCUCCCUGCUUCUCUCCAUGAUGAUAUGUCUGUAGUACCAGCAUGGCUAAGCCCUGCUGCAGUGUGCGAGGAGGACAUGCCUCUUGUUUGGCUGGGCUGCACCUUUGGGCUGGUUAAUUUAAUGCUGCUGAGAACUCAGACCUUUUUCUGCACUGCGAUGUGUGCUGUGUGAUUUGGAGAGCAGGGGCACAGGACUUUAAUGCUGGCAUGAAGCACACCCAGCUGUGGAGAAGCAAUCUGAGCAAUAAGGAGAAUAGCUAGAAGAAUCUACAGCUAGCUAGCUGCAUUUCUAAGUAAAAUGGAGAGAAAAAAUCACAUUUUUCUCUGGAAGAAUGCGCAAAACAGAAGUGUUUAAUAUGUUAUUGGGGAGACAGUGACCAAAGGCAACAGUCAAGUUGGCUUUAUCCGCCUGGAUGAGUCCUGAUCACACUGGCACAAGCCCACGUGUUAGAGCCAUAGGCAGGGUCAGAGCUGUUACUCCCGGCGUUGGAAAUUGAGGCUUCUGGAGCUGGAAGAGAAUUCAUUAGGAAAGGGCAUAACUUGGUCCAGCAGUCCCUGAGAAUGGCUGGCUGAAGCGGCAGUGGCCACAAGUGCCCUGGCCGGGUGUUUCACACCAAAAUGUGCUAUUCUGGCAGCUGGAGGUUAUCCCUCGUGUUUGGCUGUGUGGUUGUGCUGGCACGGAGCACACGCGUGCAUUCAGGCAUGCUGAGCUGCCUAUGCGUUUGUGCACUUCUCCUCCACUCGGCAGCUGUGUCGUGACAUAUCCUGGUCACUUCCUAUCUGUUCACAGGGGGUAGAUGGAUUGGUCCCUUUGUUUCUGCUGCCAGCACAGCCUCAGACAGUUUUUGGUUUUGGUGUGUGUUUUUUUUAAAGUCUGUAGUAGUAUGUAGGGUGAGCAAGUUGUACACAGCCUGGUUGUAAUACUCCUUUCUUUUUUUAAAAAUGUUUCUUCCUUGGUUGUAUUAAGCUGCCAGUCAUGCUAAUUAUAUUCUCUCCUCUUUUGGGAUUUACAAUACUCCACGCAGGCAAAAUGGUGUUUAGGGACCUAGUACAGCUUCCUCCCACCCCUUUCACUGGAGCAAGUGACCCCUCUGUGCCCUGCCAGAUCCCAGGCUCCUCAAUAACUCACCCAUCACUUUAAAUUGGAACUUGAAAAUUACAUAAAUAUUUGUGAGGACAUUUGUUGUUUGCAGCUCUGAAAAAGUUAUCUUUUUCAAAUGUUACAGAAACACUCAGUGCUAAAUGUAGCCCACGGGUUUGCUUUGGAAGCUGAUAGGUGUGGCAUUGUUUUUUGUGUGUGUUGUUUUUUUAUGUUGUUUUUUUUUCUUUCAAAUGACCCUCAUGGAAAAUUUUGUCACUUAUUUCCUGUUAAUCAGAAAUGGACUCUACCCAAGACAGCCACAAUUUUGUCUUGUGCACUAGUUCACUGGGGGGAAAAAAAGUAAGUUGAAAGAGCGUACAAUAUUAAAGAUGUUUUUGAACCAAAUUUGCUUCCUCUGGUUUCAGUGGGCCUCAGCUUUGUUCUCACAGGGCUCUUUGUCGGAACCCAAACCAUACAAUAAUCUGGUUAAGGUUACCAGAAAGUAAUGAAACCAGCAUUUUUUCCCUCAGCUCUAUAGACAAGAUGGAGUUGCUGUGUGGCUGCAGCGGCCUGUCCUAUGGCUGUGACAGGCCUGUGUACAUGCUGUCACUUAGCAAUGGCUGCCAUUUGUUUUCUAACCGCAGCUUUUCCUUGUUGGCACCUAGUGAGAGCUGUAAUUGUCAGACCCGUCCCGAAAGGGUGCACCUGAAGGCAACGAGCCCCAGGGCUCACCUGUGCCCCUGCCCUGGCCCAUAUCAAGGCCUGUGUACACCAGAAGUGCAGCCUGAAAGCUUAGAGAGGUGAAUGAAGACACAGAAGUGUGAAGACCAAGAGACAAGGAAAUGGAGGAAUCUGAAGGUGCAGGAUGUCAGUACAAGCACCUCAGCAAGACUCUACCAUAGCCAGAGAGGCAUAGAAAACAAAGUAAGGGAAUGCAGUGAGUUCACAAGUGUGGGAAGUACAAAAUCAGAAUUGAGCCACCUAACUGCUGGAGACAGAGACCUGGUUUUAAUGAAACAUGAAAGUCUUUAAUUCCCCUUCCAAAGAUAAGGAUCAAAUUGUUGCACAUCUGAUUUUUAGUGGAACAAGCAUCCUGUGUUUAAACAGGACUUUGGACCGCAAUUAGGAAAGCAGUAUAAACUUAACAAUGUCACCAUCACCCCAGCCUUACAAAAAGGGAAAAAGUUCCAUUAAAAGUUAAUAGGACUGGGAGUCAAGAGACCUUGGUAAUAUGCAUUGGAAUCUCCCUUCUGUAAGAAGACAUUUGUUCAAUUUGCUGAAGUUUGAGACUCCAAGGAAUUAUUCAAACUGCACAAUCCAAGAAUUCUAGUGCUGAACAGGAGGAAGACAUUUACUCAGCAACCUGCUGCCUCCUUUCCUGAAGCAUAACUGAACAUAUCUGAUAUUGCCAACAUGUAACACUAAUUUUGGAAUUAGAAUCCCUUUACUAGACAGGCUUGCUAAAUCUCCACAAACAAUUCACUCUUCUUUAAAAUUAAUUGUCUUCUCUGCAACUAACUCUCUCAGGUUCUGAGA
Long non-coding RNA from Cygnus olor (mute swan), 4701 nucleotides. RefSeq lists it as uncharacterized. NCBI's taxonomy places the organism in Eukaryota, Metazoa, Chordata, Aves, Anseriformes, Anatidae. The transcript has 3 exons. The record is from RefSeq and is a predicted model, not a curated record.